This 375-nucleotide unclassified non-coding RNA is filed under the name Hevea brasiliensis (rubber tree). The record is from RNAcentral. Lineage: Eukaryota; Viridiplantae; Streptophyta; Magnoliopsida; Malpighiales; Euphorbiaceae.
AUGCCAUGAGACCCAUAAUAAGCAGAAGAUCCAAAAAGUAAGAAACCUAGCUAGUUUCACAACAGCAACAACGGCCCGAUAAUUAUUCAUUCCAACACUUUUCAUUAAACUUGGACGCCAUUAUCUGAUGUUAUGAAUCCAUAUUAUGGCAUUUGCAUGCCAUUGUAAAUCCAUAUAGUUCAAGCAUAUUAUCAUGCUAGAUGAUAAAUUAAAUCGGAGAAUGAUGCCGAAUUAUAAAAUAUGAUAAUAGAGUUUAAUAAUAUAAUAUAAUAUCCAAAACACCUAACUUUUACAAUGCCAAUUAAAAGGAUGUUCAGGAAAAGAGGAUGUCAUACCUCAAAUGCAUCCUUAAAAAAUGGUCAGGUUCCUUAACUA